RNAcentral lists this ribosomal RNA (253 nucleotides) under uncultured bacterium. Its description in RNAcentral is "partial 16S ribosomal RNA". It matches the Rfam family "Bacterial small subunit ribosomal RNA", at positions 524 to 776 of the family's 1533-position model. The record is from RNAcentral.
UACGGAGGUUGCAAGCGUUGUUCGGAAUCACUGGGCGUAAAGCGCGUGUAGGCGGCCUCCUCAGUCUGGUGUGAAAGCCCGGGGCUCAACCCCGGAAGUGCAUUGGAUACUGGGAGGCCGGAGUACCGGAGAGGAGGGUGGAAUUCCUGGUGUAGCGGUGAAAUGCGUAGAUAUCAGGAGGAACACCGGUGGCGAAGGCGGCCCUCUGGACGGAUACUGACGCUGAGACGCGAAAGCGUGGGGAGCAAACAGG